GCAGUAGCCACGGUAAUACGGAGGGUGCAAGCGUUAAUCGGAAUUACUGGGCGUAAAGCGCACGCAGGCGGUCUGUUAAGUCAGAUGUGAAAUCCCCGGGCUCAACCCGGGAACUGCAUUUGAAACUGGCAGGCUUGAGUCUUGUAGAGGGGGGUAGAAUUCCAGGUGUAGCGGUGAAAUGCGUAGAGAUCUGGAGGAAUACCGGUGGCGAAGGCGGCCCCCUGGACAAAGACUGACGCUCAGGUGCGAAAGCGUGGGGAGCAAACAGGAUUAGAUACCCCUGUAGUCCCUGUCUCUUAUAC
Molecule: ribosomal RNA, 302 nt
Filed under: uncultured bacterium
Lineage: Bacteria
Description: partial 16S ribosomal RNA
Rfam family: Bacterial small subunit ribosomal RNA
Source: RNAcentral